AUGCAAAACUGUACUGAAAGCCUGCUGCAGGAUUUCAUAAAUAUCGACAGCUUUUUCUGUGGAUACAGGGCCUUGGCUUCUCCAGGCGAGGUCCCAGAAGUGCUCCUCCGCAGGCAUGGAAAUGAGGAGACCUGGGCUGGUUCAGGAAACACCAGAACAGUCCUCAGGAACUUGAGGAUACAAUUCAGUAUUCAUUCACCGGUUUUGAUCAGUAAUUAAGAGUUAAAACGUGCGUCAGUGAGAUGAGACCAUGAUUACGUAACAAGGCGCCCAGAUCAGAAUUCCUCGCUCGCUCAGAGCAGAAGGAAAAUAUCGUCUUCAAGUAUGGGAGCCGGCAAUCAGUGCGGGUAAGAAGGUAAGAAGAGUUUUAGAGAAGUGGGUUUUAAAGAAGGAUUUGAAAACAGAGACGUGUUGAUGGAGUUAGACUAUAGGGGAAAUGCCAGCAGAAAUGAAGAGGUUAACAUCUUGUCGAACAGGAUCUGGAGUUGAUGUUACUGAGUUAAGACAGAGAGAGAGGACAGAUUCGAGUUCAGGCGGGGAAAGAAUCAGAAAGGGAGGACGGAGAGAUUCUUUUUGUGAACAAUUAUUGUAAAAUGUCAUUGAUGUGGCUUCUUUUCAUAAAAUAGCCACACGUAACUAAGGCUGGCACAGCCAUUUUCACUCAGCUCAUUUAGCUCCAAAUAAAGAGGUGUAUCUAGGCCAGACCUGGGACCAUCCUGAGGACCUGCGCGAGGACCAGCCUGGGGACCUGCCUCAAGGAAAAGUAUCGUCUAGAACCUUUUGCUCAAAGUAUUCGGUGUGGAAAGGGUAGGAGGAACUGGCAAUAUUUGCAGUCUAAGUGAAAGUUGAAUUUCCACGUCCAUUGGCUGCUCCUGUCCCCCACAAGCUGGUCCUAGCUGUGAGCAAACACAAGUGCACGGCUGCAAGCAGCUUCAAUGGCCCACCGGGGGCAAAUCUGACCCCUCAUUGCAUGUGGUGUCAGAUAAAGAUGUUCAAAACGUAGUGUCUUCUGGAACGCGUGUCUUCUGGGGCUCCCCACCUGCCGGUGCUUUCAGAGCGGGAGGGGGCAAGGGAGCAGGAGUUGAGUCUGGGGGUUUCAGCCCCCCUCUACAGGCUGGGGCCAGUGUAGUGCAGCCCCCAAGGUGGGGUGGGGGCUCCACUUCCCCCACUCCACCCUUCAGCACCAGGUGCGGAGCCCCAAGUACCAGCUCCCUCCACUGCCUUCCCCCUCCCAUUCGCAAACAGCCAGGACUGCACAGGCUGUGGGAACCUGCUUGCAGGCUCCCGGCAGGCAGCGAGAUCCCCGCCCCUCCGGACCCGCAGUGACCGUCGGUUUGGUCUGGGGUAAGGGUGUAAAUCGGAUCGCUUUGCAAACUUGUUCUGAGCUACAGCUGGGAGCUCCACUUCUCUCUGCACCCUUAGGGCACGUCCGCACGUGCAGGCCCGUGUGCUUGCAGCAGCUCAGAUAGGAGCGGCACGUAUUUGAGCUGGGGAUUUCUGCCUCAGCACGUGUCUGCACGUGGCCUUUGGUGUGGGGCAAGUUGUGCCACUUGGGGCAGAAUAACCCUGCCCAGCUCCUCCCGGAUCUGCAGCCAGGGGCAGCCAGAGCCUGCGGCCAG
Alligator mississippiensis (American alligator) is the source of this 1619-nucleotide long non-coding RNA. RefSeq lists it as uncharacterized. The record is from RefSeq and is a predicted model, not a curated record. The transcript has 3 exons. Lineage: Eukaryota; Metazoa; Chordata; Crocodylia; Alligatoridae.